Molecule: long non-coding RNA, 186 nt
Organism: Xenopus laevis (African clawed frog)
Lineage: Eukaryota; Metazoa; Chordata; Amphibia; Anura; Pipidae
Exons: 3
Source: RefSeq, a predicted model, not a curated record
AAAGUUUUUUUUUUUUUGUUUUCCGAGAAUGGGAGACCAAGCAGAGACCACUUCAAGGUAAGAUCUGUUGACCAGUUUUUUAGCCAAAGGAAACGUCUGGCUGCAAUGGAUUAUGCCGAAGCCCUUGUGACGAGCUUAGCCGCGCCCAGGACUGCUAUGCAAAUUUAUAUAUAUUUGUGUCCGCUA